UACAGAGGUCUCAAGCGUUGUUCGGAUUCAUUGGGCGUAAAGGGUGCGUAGGCGGCGCGGUAAGUCGGGUGUGAAAUCUCGGAGCUUAACUCCGAAACUGCAUUCGAUACUGCCGUGCUUGAGGACUGGAGAGGAGACUGGAAUUUACGGUGUAGCGGUGAAAUGCGUAGAUAUCGUAAGGAAGACCAGUGGCGAAGGCGGGUCUCUGGACAGUUCCUGACGCUGAGGCACGAAAGCGUGGGGAGCAAACAGG
Molecule: ribosomal RNA, 253 nt
Filed under: uncultured bacterium
Lineage: Bacteria
Description: partial 16S ribosomal RNA
Rfam family: Bacterial small subunit ribosomal RNA
Source: RNAcentral